Equus caballus (horse) is the source of this 687-nucleotide long non-coding RNA. RefSeq lists it as uncharacterized. The record is from RefSeq and is a predicted model, not a curated record. NCBI's taxonomy places the organism in Eukaryota, Metazoa, Chordata, Mammalia, Perissodactyla, Equidae.
GAGCAGGCCGAGCCCUCCCAUUGUCCAUCUGCUCCCCUAACCUCUACCCCAGAUGUUCAUAUUUUCUGCUCCCAUCCCCACACGCCACAUUCCCACCUUCUGGGUCUACUCCCCAGGGAGCUGGUUUCAGCAGAAAAAAGAGCAAAUCUCAGCAGCCCCUUCCAAAUUGUGGGAGUGCCUGGGAGGGAAUUAAGCCUUGUCAAAACUUCCAAAAUUCAAACCAGGAAGAACCUGGCUGAGGAAACCUGGGUGGAUGGGAAUUCAGUUGUGCAGUUUCUCCUGGGUAGGAGGAGGUCUUGGAGUGGCAUCUGUCGGCCUUGAUGAUGGGAGAAGGCUGGAAGAUGUCCGGUGGCACCAGCAGCUGCAGAAGCUCCUCCUACAGAGAUGAACGUGUCAACGACAACCAGUGCAGGGGCUUUUUCAAGUGUUGCGAGGUCCUGUGUAGGAGGAAAUGUGUUUAUCCCACAGCAGACAGAUUGAUGCCAGUGUGAUGAAGCUGAGGAUUCCUGGUGUCCAGGGAGUCCACUUCCCACACAAGCCUGAGGUAUCCGCAGUCCCCGCUGAAGCCUUGGUGCUGCCACGGAUGCUUCCUCUGUGCCCGGUCCUUUGUGUAUUCCUGGCACCCAGAAAAGGGCUGGGCACGGAAAAUGUGUUUUGACCAGAGAACAAAUAAAAGCACACGCUUCU